UGGGGAAUUUUGCACAAUGGGGGAAACCCUGAUGCAGCGACGCCGCGUGAUUUAGAAGGCCUUCGGGUUGUAAAAAUCUUUUCUAUGGGAAGAAAAUGACAGUACCAUAGGAAUAAGGACCGGCUAAUUACGUGCCAGCAGCCGCGGUAAUACGUAAGGUCCGAACGUUGUCCGGAAUCAUUGGGCGUAAAGGGUACGUAGGCGGGUAAGCAAGUUAGAAGUGAAAUCCUAUAGCUCAACUAUAGUAAGCUUUUAAAACUGCUCACCUUGAGGUAUGGAAGGGAAAGUGGAAUUCCUCGUGUAGCGGUGAAAUGCGCAGAUAUUAGGAGGAAUACCGCUGGCGAAGGCGACUUUCUGGCCAUAACCUGACGCUGAGGUACGAAAGCGUGGGUAGCAAACAGG
This 402-nucleotide ribosomal RNA is filed under the name bacterium. RNAcentral's name for it is "partial 16S ribosomal RNA". It matches the Rfam family "Bacterial small subunit ribosomal RNA", at positions 355 to 776 of the family's 1533-position model. The record is from RNAcentral.